UGGGUGGUAUCUUAAUAGAACCUCACCAGAAUUUUCACAUUUAAUUUUUAGCAACUCAUAUCUAUAUGAAUGAGAUUGAAUU
This is a non-coding RNA of Clostridium taeniosporum, 82 nucleotides long. The record is from Rfam. Lineage: Bacteria; Bacillati; Bacillota; Clostridia; Eubacteriales; Clostridiaceae.